AACGAACGCUGGCGGCAUGCCUAACACAUGCAAGUCGAACGAGAUCUUCGGGUCUAGUGGCGCACGGGUGCGUAACGCGUGGGAAUCUGCCCUUUGGUUCGGAAUAACAGUUGGAAACGACUGCUAAUACCGGAUGAUGACGAAAGUCCAAAGAUUUAUCGCCAGAGGAUGAGCCCGCGUAGGAUUAGCUAGUUGGUGUGGUAAAGGCGCACCAAGGCGACGAUCCUUAGCUGGUCUGAGAGGAUGAUCAGCCACACUGGGACUGAGACACGGCCCAGACUCCUACGGGAGGCAGCAGUGGGGAAUAUUGGACAAGGGGCGAAAGCCUGAUCCAGCAAUGCCGCGUGAGUGAUGAAGGCCUUAGGGUUGUAAAGCUCUUUUACCCGGGAUGAUAAUGACAGUACCGGGAGAAUAAGCUCCGGCAAACUCCGUGCCAGCCGCCGCAGUAA
Molecule: ribosomal RNA, 449 nt
Filed under: uncultured bacterium
Lineage: Bacteria
Description: partial 16S ribosomal RNA
Rfam family: Bacterial small subunit ribosomal RNA
Source: RNAcentral